This 87-nucleotide non-coding RNA is filed under the name Peptococcaceae bacterium. RNAcentral's name for it is "c-di-GMP sequence". It matches the Rfam family "c-di-GMP-I riboswitch aptamer". From Rfam's summary of the family: GEMM was predicted in a large-scale screen for bacterial structured RNA regulatory elements. Genes associated with GEMM are involved in a diverse array of functions, including chemotaxis regulation, signal transduction, secretion and chitin. The record is from RNAcentral. Lineage: Bacteria; Bacillati; Bacillota; Clostridia; Eubacteriales; Peptococcaceae.
AUACCGAAAGGGCAAUCUCCUACUCUAAGGGGAGCGCAAAGCCAUGGUCAUCCGAAAUACCUCGGGAAUGAUAGACUGGCUGCCGAA